RNAcentral lists this transfer RNA (75 nucleotides) under Alphaproteobacteria bacterium. RNAcentral describes it as "tRNA-Val". It matches the Rfam family "tRNA". From Rfam's summary of the family: Transfer RNA (tRNA) molecules are approximately 80 nucleotides in length. Their secondary structure includes four short double-helical elements and three loops (D, anti-codon, and T loops). RNAcentral also lists the same sequence under 3 other names. The record is from RNAcentral. Lineage: Bacteria; Pseudomonadati; Pseudomonadota; Alphaproteobacteria.
GGGCGAUUAACUCAGGGGUAGAGUGUCUCGGUGACAUCGAGGAAGCCAUUGGUUCAAAUCCAAUAUCGCCCACCA